Non-coding RNA from Myotis brandtii (Brandt's bat), 74 nucleotides. Lineage: Eukaryota; Metazoa; Chordata; Mammalia; Chiroptera; Vespertilionidae. The record is from Rfam.
GGCAGUUCUCGGGUGACGCACCCUGGAAUCGGCUCCCUCCUCUCUGAUUCCAGGUGAAUCACCCAAGAACCGCA